Cherax quadricarinatus is the source of this 6348-nucleotide long non-coding RNA. RefSeq lists it as uncharacterized. The record is from RefSeq and is a predicted model, not a curated record. NCBI's taxonomy places the organism in Eukaryota, Metazoa, Arthropoda, Malacostraca, Decapoda, Parastacidae.
CUGGUAGCCACAUUCAUGAUGAUAUAGACCGAGUGUCAAGAUCCACUAAAUUAGUGUCAGUUGUAGCUCAGUGCUCGUGGCUUGCGGGUGUGACUUUGGCUGCUGUCUACUGUGAGGUUUAUUUAGCACAUUAUUUCCAUUCUGCAAUAUGGGGACUAGAACUGAGCAACAUAAUCAAAAUGAGAUCUUACCAGUGAUUGUGUAUAAAAUUGAAACUCGAGCCACGGAGGCGUUGACCCCAAAAACCCUCUCCAGGUAAACUCCAGGUGAUAAUGUCUCCUGCACCAUGUGCUGCUACUUUCUUAGUCUCCUGUGUGGAACUUUAUCAAAGGCUUCACUGAAGUCCAUAUACACAACAGCAUAUUCUUUAUCUUUGAAUACCACCUCAAAUGCCCUAGUGAGAAAGUGCGAGUUUAGAAUGGUAUAUGAACCUGCUGUUCCACCUGGAAAUAGAGCAGAGUGAGCAUGGGGAGAAAGUGGUGGAACAAUUCCUGGAUAAACAGAUAUAUAGCCAUUGGACUCCAGCUGACUUGAUCUCGAUGAAAAGAAGAAGCAACAUUUUAUCGCUGGCCUCAAGACACUAAUGCAGGAAGACCCAAUUGGGAGUAGGUGAGGUGUGUGUAAUCCACAAGCCAUGGUCAUCCUGGGAAAGUCGAAGCCUAUCUGGUAAACCAUGAAGGUGAAAAUGUAUUCUUCUCCUUCCCCACCUGGUAUGUAGAGGACCUGGUUGACCAGGCAAGCACGAGACAAGCUUGGCCCAUGGCCGGGCUCCAAGAGUAGCAAGAUUCUCGAAACUCAUCAAAGCUGGGACUGUGACAACAGAAGCUCCACACCCUAAUGCUUCCUCCUAGAGGAAGUAGUUUGAAGUUGCCCUCCCCCUCUUCCUUUGAGAAAGAGGAACCACUCCCCAAAAGGACCUGGCCUUUCUUUAACCAAUAAGAGCUUUGGAUCAGACACCUUGUGGGUUAAAUCUGUGAUCAAGGACCAGUCUACAAAGGUGAAGUGAGCCGACUGUCGGUAGUAUUUCCUCUGUGGACAUUACCCAGAUGGUGGCUCCUGCUUCCUUUGGCUCAAUGUGAUUUCUCGUUCAGUGGAGCUGUUAGGGUAUUAGGCGCCAUACUAAAAACAUUCAUGUCCUCUUUAAGACUAUGGCCUAUCAGUUCUGUGUUUGCUGGAGGAGUUAUCCCAGGGUUCCAUGUUUUUUUUCUAUGUCUCUUUACUUCCCUUCUGGUGUAACUGCUAAGGAAGGUGUGGGUACAAUGCUAUGCUGCUGUCCAGAGUGAGAUUCAGUAUUGUAUAUUCCACAGCCUGCAGGCUGUAGCAAUCUGGGUAAUUCUGCAGGGGGACAUGACAGUGUGCACCUAGUGUGUCCUCCAGAUUGGGUUUUAGACCUCUGAUCUUGCUGACUCAAUCUGUUAGCUACCCUGUUUAUUUCUCCUGAAUGACUUAAUACUCACCACUACAUGUGGGAUGCUGUGCUAACUCCUUUGGAUAUUAGUAUCCUAAAUGAUGGAUCUCUGACCUAUCAUAAUGUUCAUAUGAAUGCCUUCAUAGGCAUAGGUCUCUCUACAUUCCAUUUGUGUAUCUGGACUUAUGAUGAUGGCCUGUUUUCCUUUAGGAUUCCUUCCUUCAAUCUGACCUCUGCAGUGGAAGUUGGAAGCUGGUGACUCUGAGGCUCAGGCAGAUGAUGUCUUGUGAUUUUUAUGAUGUGCAGGGGCCUAUGAUCAUUUUGUCAUCUGGGAGGUGGAGGCUAGCAUUCAUUGGUGGCUCAGGGUGUUAUCUGCUGAUCCCUUGAUAGGACUGAGAAGCACCAUUGGAUUGUGUAUACAUUCCAUCAUUGCCUCAGGGGCUAUUAUUUCCUGGUUAAUAAGCUGAUAUACCAUUGGGUAUUACUCAUCAAAAGGAGGGUAUUCAGAAACACCCAGCAUGUCCUGGGUCCAUUGCAUGGAGAGGCGAGGUUCUGACCAGAGCUUUGGUGAGAUGGGGAAGGAAGGAUAGGUAAGGAUGCAUGGAGGAACUGACUCCAAAACUCCUGGACAGAUAUGGAAUGAGGUCAGAAAGAAGUCUGGGGAAGUACUCCCUGAGCCCACAUUCUCCAUCAUGGUCAAACUGACAACCAUUGAGGUGGCCAAUGCCUUUUCUAAAGGCUUCUCCUUUGUCUCAAGCCUUAGGAAUUACAGUAAUGAGACUUGUAAAGAUGCUGGGAAGGGAUGGGGGAAUUGAGGUCUGCCUUAUUGGCAUUGCUCUCCAUGGCUCUGGGAAUGGACAGGGUCCACUUUUAAAAUAUUGUGGCUCCUUCCUCUCGGUGGGAGACGGCCGACUUGUUGAAAAAAAAAAAAAAAAUGAGGGUGCUUUACCACAGUAGGUAGCUGCCUGUAGUUCUGGCUAUAAAAAAUCCAGGCCCAAACUCCAGGGUAGCCACAAGCUGCCACCUGAUCUCCGACAAGCUACAUUUGCAAGUUGUUGGAAAGGAUGUUGAAUGUUAGUCUCAUUUGGUAUCUAAAGACGAAAGGCUGCAUCCCAUUGGUGCAUUUUGGCUUCCUCAGUUUCCAUUCCCGAUAUCUUCUUUGGUUUGGCUAGCUUGUUAUGUUCAAGAUGGUUAGUCAGAUGCCUUCAUUCCUUGGCAGCCUGACACAAUGUGGUUUGUCCUUCACUGUCUAAGUCUCUGGGACUGCACUACUGUUUGUUCUGGGUUCUCCGAUAAUAAUAAUAAUAAUAAUAAUAAUAAUAGUAAUAAUUUUAUUUCUUUGUAAAGGUUACAAUGUGUAAUUACAAUUUUGAUUUGCUAGGUACAAAGAUAGCCACUAUCAUGCCAAGGCAUUUCGGGCAAACUAAUCCUAAUACAUAGUAACUAAUUAAAACUAGAUAAGAUAAUAGUACAUAGUAAUUAUUACUUAAAACUAAACAUAGAAUACGUAGUGGUUAGCUGUUUUACAAUCUUGUUUGGCCUUAAUCUUAUGUAUACUUAGUACAAAAUCUAAUUUACAAGGAAUGGUGCAGGUGGUAAUAUUUUAUGGAAUAGCAGAAUUAAAAGCCAGGAGGUCACAUGAUAAAACUAGCCAGUAGAUGUUUGGUCGAUUUGGUUAAUAUUGUGCGAUAACAUGAUUUUUUAGCAGUCCUAAAUUUAUAAGUUGUCUGGGGAUCCUUGACUUGUUCCGGUAGCGAGUUCCAGAUCUUUGGGCCUUGUAUAUGCAUAGCGUUCUUGCAUAGUGAGCGUUUUACUUGAGGGAUGUUGAAAAGGGCCUUAUGCCUUGGAUUGUGACUGUGCAUUCUGUUGUAACUGUCGAGGAGUAGUUUUAGGGGGGGGGGGUUACAGUGGACUUUAAAGUUCUGUAUAUGUAGUAGGCACAAUAAUAAGAGUGUAUGUCUUGUAUAUUUAGCAAGUUGAGUCAUUUGAAAAGUGGUGGUGUGUGCUGUCUAGCACAGGAGCUGGUUGUCACCUGCACAGCAGCUUUUUGUUGGAUUAUUAAGGGUCUAAGGUGGUUGGCUGUGGUAGUCCCAGGCACAGAUACCAUAGGUGAGGUAAGGAUAUAUUAGAGAGUGGUACAAGGGAAGGAGAGUCGUUUGUGGUACAUAAUAGCGUAUCUUGGAAAGGAUUCCUACUGGUUUGGAAAUUUUCUUGGCUAUGUGAUGGGUAUGGGACUGAAAUUUAAGAUUAGUCAAGGAGAAGGCCUAGAAAUUUGCCCUCCGUGUGCCUUGAUAUAGGCCAUAGGGAAACCAUUUAACAGUAAGUUGAGUUGAAUAUUUGAGGCUGUUGCCAAACAGCAUGAAGUAAGUUUUUUCUAUGUUAAGUGUGUGUUUGUUGGUCAUCAUCCAAGCAUAUAUUUUUAGCAGUUCAUUGCUUAGUGUUUUCAAGCACAGCUGGGUCUGAAUGGGAGUAGACAUAUGUAGUGUCAUCUGCGAAUAGAACUGGUGUAAGGAGUUGGGAUGCAUUGGGGAGAUCAUUGAUGUAGAUGAGAAAGAGGAGUAGGCCUAGGACACUACCUUGGGGUACUGCUACAACUACAGGUUGGAUAGCAGAGUUCAUUCCAUUUGCAUGUACAUACUGGUGUCUGUCAUUAAGAAUAGGAUUUUAGGUAGUCUUAUGCCAUAAUGAUUCAGUUUGAGGUGCAAGAGAUUGUGGUCAACUGUGUCAAACGCUUUUCUUAGGUCGACAAAGAGCCCCAGGGGAUAUUCAUUCUUAUCGAGAGCUGUGUAUAUUAGGUCAAGCAUUUGUAUAGUAGCAUCAUUCGUGCUUUUUUAUGGUCUAAAUCCAAACUUGUAUGGGUUAAGUUUGUUGUUGGAUGUAAGGUAGGAGUAAAGUCGCUUGUGUAUUAUUUUUUCAAAUAUCUUGGAUAGUAAGGGCAAGUUUGAUAUGGGUCUUUAAUUGUUCAAAUCAGUUGGAUCUCCACCUUUGUGGAUCGGGGUGACCCUUGCUGUCUUGAGCAUGGAUGGGAAGGUUGAGGAAGCUAUAGAUUUGUUAAACAUUGUUGCAAUAAUGGGCAACAGUUUUGGUGCAGCUUUUUUAUAUAUGAAUGGUGGCAAGUUAUCUAGAUUACCUGAUUUGUUUUUUAAUGAUUUAAUGAUGAGUGAGACUUCAGUGGGAUUAGUUGGAGCUAGGAAUAGUGUGUUUGGAUAGUUGCCAGUGAGGUACUCGCUCGGAUGGGUAUUUGAGCUAGGAAUUUGGCUCACUAGCUUUGAUCCUACGGUAGAGAAGAAGACAUUAAAUUUGUCGGCCGUGUCUAUAGGUUGCAUGUGAGGUUCAUCUGGUUUAGUUAAGUCUCUCUAUUUCCAGUCAGUUUUCUUGAGCCCAAAAUUUUGGAGAGGGUUUGCCAGGUACUUUUCAUGUCACCUUUCAUUUCACUAAAUCUAUAGUUUGUCUAGCAGAUCAUUCAAGGUGAGGGUUCAUGCUAUUUGUGGCAGUUGCCCCUUGAUGGAAUCUGCAUGGCAGCAUUUUAUGGUUCACAUGUUGUAUUCACAAAUAACCUGCACAUUGGGGAAUGAAACUUAGGAUGAUGUUUCUGUCCAAAUUGGACCAUUAACUAAUCUCACACAAGCGUGAAGGGAUGGAAGCCGUUAUAUAUAUGAGAGAGGGUUGGAUCUGGGAGAGAGAAGUAGAAGUAUAGAGGAAGUAGUGGUGGUGGUAGUAGUAGUUAGUGCAAUAGUGGCAGAGGUGGUAAUAAGGGAGUAAUGGUAUUGACAAGUCUCCCCCUCGUAUAUAUAUACUGGCUCCCUUUGCACUCGUGAGAGACUAGUCAAUGGUCCAAGUUGGACCGAAGCAUUGUCAUAAGUUUUAUUCUCUUAUGUGCAGGUUAUUUGUUCCAGUCACAGUAUUGAGCCUUUUUGUUCUUCUUCCAUAUGUUGCAUUAUAUCCGUGGAUGAACUCUGACCUCUGGUGUCAAGGCCUUCUUAAACGUUUAAUAGAUUUUGCAGUGUACUACGUGGCAUCUACUCCAGGAAUUUCCUGUCACUGGCAUCAGGUGGCAGUGGACAACUACAUAGUAUAGGUUGUUUCUAUUGGCCACUGAUUUACCACUAGAAAUGUGGUUACUGUUCGUUUUACAUCCUGGAUUCAACAGCCUGCUUCCUAUGGUGUGGUCCUUCCUGUGAUCAUUGACUGAUGUGGGCCUUUCAUAUGAAGAAACUAAUGGAUGCUCUGUAGGCAUUAAUCAUUCUUAACCUUUAAACUGUCCAAACGUAGAUCUAUGUUUUUCUUUUACACACUUUCAAAUGGAGAAAAUCAAGGUCGGAGCACUACACACACAGACGUAGAUCUACGUUUGGACAGUUUAAGGUGUUCUCCACUGUACCUGGGGCAGAUCAGGAGACAGUACACUUCCUGUAUGUGGCCUUGUGCCAUUCCAGGCUAGAAUAUGGCUGGCAGAUAUAAUGUUUGCAGGUGCUUGUCCUCAUUUCUGUACUUGCCUGUUUGUGGUUGCAGGGGUUAAAUCAGCUCCUGGCCCCACCUCCUGUGGCUUGUGGCAUGCUGCUGACUGUGAAACUCAUUUUAAGUGUCUUCAUGGCUUACAUCUUUCUGUCUUUGUUGUAAUUUUUUUAUAAUGCCUGGGCAGCCUGUUGGUAUCUUCUGGAGCACUGGGUGGUCCAGAAGAUUCUAGAGUGAUUAGCAUGUCUAUGCUUGUCACAAGGAUAUGGAGUACUGUUGGAGCCCAAGCCAUAUUAGUGUCUUGGGAAAGAAAGGCUUUCUGUAUGAUAUACCCUUGGAAAGUGGCCACCCCAGUGGAACUUAGACUGGCAGCAAAUUAUACAGUUUUUCAGGAUGUGGGUGUUUGGCCCUCCUCCUUCAACAGGAUUCAUUAUUUAAAAAAAAAAAAAAAGUGCUCGUUGAGACUGGAUCUGGCACAUGCCUCA